UCAACCUCUGUGCACUUGUUGUAGGUCGGUAGAAGAGCGAGCAUCUAAUGCUUGCUUGGAAGCCUUCUUAUGUUUUACUACAAACGCUUCAGUUUAAGAAUGUUUACCUGCGUAUAACGCAUUUAUAUACAACUUUCAGCAACGGAUCUCUUGGCUCUCGCAUCGAUGAAGAACGCAGCGAAAUGCGAUAAGUAAUGUGAAUUGCAGAAUCCAGUGAAUCAUCGAAUCUUUGAACGCACCUUGCGCUCCCUGGUAUUCCGGGGAGCAUGCCUGUUUGAGUGUCAUGGUAUUCUCAACCUUCAUAACUUUUGUUACCGAAGGCUUGGACUUGGAGGUUGUGCUGGCUUCUAGUUAAGUCGGCUCCUCUUAAAUGUAUUAGCGUGAGUGUAACGGAUCGCUUCGGUGUGAUAAUUAUCUGCGCCGUGGUCGUGAAGUAACAUAAGCUUGCGCUUCUAACCGUCCUUCAGUUGGACAAUUACUUUGACAUCUGACCUCAAAUCAGGUAGGACUACCCGCUGAACUUAAGCAUAUCAAUAAGCGGAGGA
This 545-nucleotide ribosomal RNA is filed under the name uncultured fungus. RNAcentral's name for it is "eukaryotic LSU rRNA". The stretch from base 131 to 284 matches the Rfam family "5.8S ribosomal RNA". Lineage: Eukaryota; Fungi. The record is from RNAcentral.